UUUGCGCAAUGGGGGAAACCCUGACGCAGCAACGCCGCGUGAGUGAAGAAGGCCUUCGGGUCGUAAAGCUCUGUCAAGUGGGAAAAAAUYUUCAUCGUURACAGCGCUGANGAGUGAUGGUACCACUAAAGGAAGCACCGGCUAACUCCGUGCCAGCAGCCGCGGUAAUACGGAGGGUGCUAGCGUUGUUCGGAAUUACUGGGCGUAAAGAGCGUGUAGGCGGUUUGGUAAGUCAGGCGUGAAAGCCCAGGGCUCAACCCUGGAAGUGCGCUUGAAACUGCCAUGCUUGAGUAUGGGAGAGGAGAGUGGAAUUCCCAGUGUAGAGGUGAAAUUCGUAGAUAUUGGGAGGAACACCCGUGGCGAAGGCGACUCUCUGGACCAAUACUGACGCUGAGACGCGAAAGCGUGGGGAGCAAACAGGAUUAGAUACCCUGGUAGUCCACGCCGUAAACGAUGAGAACUAGGUGUAGCGGGUAUUGACCCCUGCUGUGCCGUAGYUAACGCAUUAAGUUCUCCGCCUGGGGAGUACGRYCGC
Molecule: ribosomal RNA, 535 nt
Filed under: bacterium Oil-MT1-7
Lineage: Bacteria
Description: bacterial SSU rRNA
Rfam family: Bacterial small subunit ribosomal RNA
Source: RNAcentral